AUAGCAAAUGAUUGUAUUUCAGUAUGUAUGCUGAAACUUCUAUCUUUGUGCCUAUUUUUUUAAUGCAGUUAUGUGGUUUUUGUAUGUUGUUCUGUUUUCUAGGAGACUGUGCCGAGGGAUUCUGGUGCAAAAGUGGUGCCAAAGUAAGAAAUCCUCAAGAUGGAAAAUCAGGAUUUCCUUGUCCACCUGGUCAUUAUUGUCCAGAAGGUAGGGUGCUUUGCUAAAGCAUAUUUUUUCUUAUUUCAUGUAAAGCAUGGGGUGGCAUUCCCUCACUCUGGUGCCAUUCAUUUUGCCAGGUGCACCACUUCCCCUAGAGUGCCCUCCUGGCACUUGGUCUGGCAGUGAAGGCAGCAGCAGUUUGCUGGAAUGCCAGCCUUGCCCUGGGGGAUACUAUUGCAAUAGCUCUGGACAGAGGGCUCCCACAGGACUCUGCAGCCCAGGGUAAGAGAAUAGUGAACAUAUUCAUGUACACUUCGUAAGGAAAGGUGUUCUACAAGGGAUCUUCUUUACCAUCUUGAAAUAAUGACAGUACGCUCCUAUACUCACUGCUGCAGGUAUUACUGUGUCACCAGGGCCCGGACCCCAACACCCACGGAUGGCCUCUCAGGAGCUCCUUGUCCAGUCAAUCACUUUUGUCCUCUUGGAUCCAGGAGUCCAGCACCAUGUCCUGCUGGCUCCUACAUGCCACAGACCCACGGAGAGAAGUGCCAUGCUUGCCCAGAGGGUGAAUACUGUGUCCCUGGGGAGAAGCCAGAGCCAUGUCCCCAGGGUGAGUUAGGAUUCCCCUUACCUGCCUGGUUUGCUGUAGAUUUUCUGAAGGCUGCUAAUGCUGACCUGUUCUUUCUUUUCCAGGGCACUUCUGUCCCAAGGGUACAGCUUUUCCAAUGGCUUGUCCAGCAGGGUCGUAUAACCCCUCACAAAGGCAAUCCAGCUGCCUCCCCUGUCCUGAAGGGUUCUUCUGCCCCAAAAAUUCCUCUUCAUUUUUGGAGAAUGAAUGUUCAGCUGGCCACUACUGCCCUACCGGUACUGCUGCUGCCACUCAGUUUCCAUGUCCCCAGGGAACUUACAACCCACAAAAUGGAAGCAGCCUGUUGUCUCACUGUACCCCCUGUGACCCAGGUAAACAACAUGUAAGCGUAUCUCAGGGCGGUGACUGGACAGCUUAUGAAAAUGCAUUUUGCAUGUUCUUGAGCUUCGCUAGUAGCAUGUUCAUGGUUCAGUGGCUGAAUGACAGGCUACAGUGUCCCACACCCAGUGUGUGACGUGGA
This 1268-nucleotide long non-coding RNA is filed under the name Anser brachyrhynchus (Pink-footed goose). RNAcentral describes it as "lncRNA (ENSABRG00000002599.1)". The record is from RNAcentral. Lineage: Eukaryota; Metazoa; Chordata; Aves; Anseriformes; Anatidae.